UGGGGAAUCUUGCGCAAUGGGCGAAAGCCUGACGCAGCAACGCCGCGUGGGGGAUGACGGCUUUCGGGUUGUAAACCCCUUUCAGCAGGGACGAAAAUGACGGUACCUGCAGAAGAAGCCCCGGCCAACUACGUGCCAGCAGCCGCGGUAACACGUAGGGGGCGAGCGUUGUCCGGAAUUAUUGGGCGUAAAGAGCUCGUAGGCGGUUCGGUAAGUCAGACGUGAAAUUUCAGGGCUCAACCCUGAGACUGCGCCUGAUACUGCUGUGACUAGAGUCCGGUAGAGGAGUGUGGAAUUCCUGGUGUAGCGGUGAAAUGCGCAGAUAUCAGGAGGAACACCAGCGGCGAAGGCGGCACUCUGGGCCGGUACUGACGCUGAGGAGCGAAAGCGUGGGUAGCAAACAGGAUUAGAUACCCCCGUAGUCC
This 425-nucleotide ribosomal RNA is filed under the name uncultured prokaryote. Its description in RNAcentral is "bacterial SSU rRNA". It matches the Rfam family "Bacterial small subunit ribosomal RNA", at positions 355 to 796 of the family's 1533-position model. The record is from RNAcentral.